GGGAUGAGUGGUUUGUCCACAUGAAAAGCCAAAUCCAAAUUCAUACCUCAAGAAUUAGGAGAAUCUUAUCCUUCCAAUCAGAUUAAUUAUCACCCACAACAUUGUAAUAUAAAAAGAAUUAUUAAGAAAAGUAGUAGUAAAAAUAACAGUAAUAACCAAAGAUAAACACACAUCAAUGAUACGAAAUAUAAACUUAAUUUGAAUUAACCAAUUAUUAAAUUUAAUAGUAAAUGCUCAAUCUUCAUAUGGGAAAAGAUUGCAAGCAUGCAUAAAAUAUACUUAAUCAUUUAAUCUCGUUUUUGAUAUUUUAUCUAGAAUCC
Molecule: long non-coding RNA, 320 nt
Filed under: Elaeis guineensis (African oil palm)
Lineage: Eukaryota; Viridiplantae; Streptophyta; Magnoliopsida; Arecales; Arecaceae
Description: long non-coding RNA (EGUI_LNC010180)
Source: RNAcentral